UACGUAGGGUGCAAGCGUUAAUCGGAAUUACUGGGCGUAAAGCGUGCGCAGGCGGCUCGGAAAGAAAGGUGUGAAAUCCCAGGGCUUAACCUUGGAACUGCACUUUUAACUCCCGAGCUAGAGUAUGUCAGAGGGGGGUAGAAUUCCACGUGUAGCAGUGAAAUGCGUAGAGAUGUGGAGGAAUACCGAUGGCGAAGGCAGCCCCCUGGGAUAAUACUGACGCUCAUGCACGAAAGCGUGGGGAGCAAACAGG
This 253-nucleotide ribosomal RNA is filed under the name uncultured Alcaligenaceae bacterium. RNAcentral describes it as "partial 16S ribosomal RNA". It matches the Rfam family "Bacterial small subunit ribosomal RNA", at positions 524 to 776 of the family's 1533-position model. The record is from RNAcentral. Lineage: Bacteria; Pseudomonadati; Pseudomonadota; Betaproteobacteria; Burkholderiales; Alcaligenaceae.